GUGAGGAAUAUUGGUCAAUGGACGGAAGUCUGAACCAGCCAAGUAGCGUGCAGGAUGACGGCCCUAUGGGUUGUAAACUGCUUUUAUGCGGGGGUAAAGUGAGUGACGUGUCAUUCAUUGCAAGUACCGCAAGAAUAAGGACCGGCUAAUUCCGUGCCAGCAGCCGCGGUAAUACGGAAGGUCCUGGUGUUAUCCGGAUUUAGUGGGUUUAAAGGGAGCGUAGGCCGUCAGGCAAGCGUGUUGUGAAAUGUCGUGGCUCAACCAUGGACUUGCAGCGCGAACUGCCCGACUUGAGUGCGCGGAAAGCAGGCGGAAUUUGUGGUGUAGCGGUGAAAUGCUUAGAUAUCACGAAGAACCCCGAUUGCGAAGGCAGCCUGCUGUAGCGCUACUGACGCUGAAGCUCGAAAGUGCGGGUAUCGAACAGGAUUAGAAACCCGGGUAGUCC
RNAcentral lists this ribosomal RNA (445 nucleotides) under uncultured bacterium. RNAcentral's name for it is "partial 16S ribosomal RNA". It matches the Rfam family "Bacterial small subunit ribosomal RNA", at positions 354 to 796 of the family's 1533-position model. The record is from RNAcentral.